UACGAAGGGGGCUAGCGUUGCUCGGAAUUACUGGGCGUAAAGCGCACGUAGGCGGCUUUCUAAGUCGGGGGUGAAAUCCUGGAGCUCAACUCCAGAACUGCCUUCGAUACUGGAGAGCUUGAGUCCGGGAGAGGUGAGUGGAACUGCGAGUGUAGAGGUGAAAUUCGUAGAUAUUCGCAAGAACACCAGUGGCGAAGGCGGCUCACUGGCCCGGUACUGACGCUGAGGUGCGAAAGCGUGGGGGGCAAACAGG
Molecule: ribosomal RNA, 253 nt
Filed under: uncultured bacterium
Lineage: Bacteria
Description: partial 16S ribosomal RNA
Rfam family: Bacterial small subunit ribosomal RNA
Source: RNAcentral